GAUGAACGCCGGCGGUGUGCCUAAUACAUGCAAGUCGAACGCGUUGGCCUAAUUGAUUGCUGGUGCUUGCACCUGAUUGAUUUUGGUCGCCAACGAGUGGCGGACGGGUGAGUAACACGUAGGUAACCUGCCCAGAAGCGGGGGACAACAUUUGGAAACAGAUGCUAAUACCGCAUAACAGCGUUGUUCGCAUGAACAACGCUUAAAAGAUGGCUUCUCGCUAUCACUUCUGGAUGGACCUGCGGUGCAUUAGCUUGUUGGUGGGGUAACGGCCUACCAAGGCGAUGAUGCAUAGCCGAGUUGAGAGACUGAUCGGCCACAAUGGGACUGAGACACGGCCCAUACUCCUACGGGAGGCAGCAGUAGGGAAUCUUCCACAAUGGGCGCAAGCCUGAUGGAGCAACACCGCGUGAGUGAAGAAGGGUUUCGGAUCGUAAAGCUCUGUUGUUAAAGAAGAACACGUAUGAGAGUAACUGUUCAUACGUUGACGGUAUUUAACCAGAAAGUCACGGCUAACUACGUG
Molecule: ribosomal RNA, 523 nt
Filed under: uncultured bacterium
Lineage: Bacteria
Description: partial 16S ribosomal RNA
Rfam family: Bacterial small subunit ribosomal RNA
Source: RNAcentral